UACGAAGGGGGCUAGCGUUGUUCGGAAUUACUGGGCGUAAAGGGCACGUAGGCGGAUAUUUAAGUCAGGGGUGAAAUCCCAGAGCUCAACUCUGGAACUGCCUUUGUUACUGAAGAUCUUGAGUUCGGGAGAGGUGAGUGGAACUGCGAGUGUAGAGGUGAAAUUCGUAGAUAUUCGCAAGAACACCAGUGGCGAAGGCGGCUCACUGGCCCGAUACUGACGCUGAGGCACGAAAGCGUGGGGAGCAAACAGG
This 253-nucleotide ribosomal RNA is filed under the name uncultured bacterium. Its description in RNAcentral is "partial 16S ribosomal RNA". It matches the Rfam family "Bacterial small subunit ribosomal RNA", at positions 524 to 776 of the family's 1533-position model. The record is from RNAcentral.